RNAcentral lists this transfer RNA (71 nucleotides) under Bos taurus (domestic cattle). It matches the Rfam family "tRNA". From Rfam's summary of the family: Transfer RNA (tRNA) molecules are approximately 80 nucleotides in length. Their secondary structure includes four short double-helical elements and three loops (D, anti-codon, and T loops). RNAcentral also lists the same sequence under 5 other names. Lineage: Eukaryota; Metazoa; Chordata; Mammalia; Artiodactyla; Bovidae. The record is from Rfam by way of RNAcentral.
UCCUGGUGGCUCAGACAGUAAAGAAUUUGCCUGCAAUGCAGGAGGCCCAGGUUCGAUCCCUGGGUCAGGAA